GCCCUCGUGGAUCGCGGUGAUCCCUCCUGCUAAAUAAUUGAUCUGUGGAACUUAUGCAAGUCCGAGGAGAGAUGGAGGUUCGAAUCCUCCCGAGGACA
This is a non-coding RNA of Mycena leptocephala, 98 nucleotides long. Lineage: Eukaryota; Fungi; Basidiomycota; Agaricomycetes; Agaricales; Mycenaceae. The record is from the annotation of a GenBank genome assembly.